GCCAGACUCCUACGGGAGGCAGCAGUGGGGAAUAUUGCACAAUGGGGGAAACCCUGAUGCAGCGACGCCGCGUGAGUGAAGAAGUAAUUCGUUAUAUAAAGCUCUAUCAGCAGGGAAGAAAAUGACGGUACCUGAGUAAGAAGCCCCGGCUAACUACGUGCCAGCAGCCGCGGUAAUACGUAGGGGGCAAGCGUUAUCCGGAUUUACUGGGUGUAAAGGGAGCGUAGACGGCAGUGCAAGUCUGGAGUGAAAGGCGGGGGCUCAACCCCCGGACUGCUCUGGAAACUGUCCGGCUGGAGUGCAGGAGAGGCAGGCGGAAUUCCUAGUGUAGCGGUGAAAUGCGUAGAUAUUAGGAGGAACACCGGUGGCGAAGGCGGCCUGCUGGACUGUAACUGACGUUGAGGCUCGAAAGCGUGGGGAGCAAACAGGAUUAGAUACCCCGGUAAC
RNAcentral lists this ribosomal RNA (447 nucleotides) under uncultured bacterium. RNAcentral's name for it is "bacterial SSU rRNA". It matches the Rfam family "Bacterial small subunit ribosomal RNA", at positions 330 to 794 of the family's 1533-position model. The record is from RNAcentral.